This is a long non-coding RNA of Aethalodelphis obliquidens (Pacific white-sided dolphin), 135 nucleotides long. RefSeq lists it as uncharacterized. The transcript is spliced from 3 exons. The record is from RefSeq and is a predicted model, not a curated record. Lineage: Eukaryota; Metazoa; Chordata; Mammalia; Artiodactyla; Delphinidae.
ACAAAUGUUUCUGGCAGCUUUAUUCCUAAUUGACAAAACUUGGAAGCAACCAAGAUGUCCUUUAGUAGGCAAAUGGUUAAACUGUGGAAUAUUAGUGCUAUAAAAGAAAUUAGCUAUAAAGCCAUGAAAAGACAU